Rattus norvegicus (Norway rat) is the source of this 824-nucleotide long non-coding RNA. RefSeq lists it as hypothetical. The transcript has 6 exons. The record is from RefSeq and is marked validated. NCBI's taxonomy places the organism in Eukaryota, Metazoa, Chordata, Mammalia, Rodentia, Muridae.
AGAACAGAGGUUGUGGCAGUUUCAGCAUCAAAUACCUGUUAAAGAAGAAAAGAUAGUUGAACUGGAAACAGAAAAUGCUGUUCUGUCCCUGAGAUUGGCAGAGAUAAUGAAGUAAUGCUUUGCUCUGACCAAUGAGCCACAGGAAUGGCUCUAGAUGUGGUCAUCGUAUACUACCCUGAAAGAACCGCCAGAGUUCCAGGACGGCCACCUUUCACUUAAGCAAACUUGUCCACAGACUGUGUGGGUCCCAUCAGCUGAGAGUAGCCUUCACAUUGCAGUGAUGUGCAUAUUUCUGCUUUUCAGCCACGAUGGACUUUAGGAUCUUCCCUGAGGACCCUACACGAACCACAGGUGACCUGGAUGCAGAAGUCCUACCUGUAGCUGCCAUCCAGGGCAUAAGUCCCUCAGUGAGUGAAUUCCAGAUGGUUCUGUCUAAAGCAGCAUCGAGCAGGGUGGUGGGAUAGAAUGACAGUUGUGAGCAGUUCCCAUUGGCAUCAACUGUACCACAGACCCAGUCUCAGUGUGACACAGAAGACGACUACCUGGAAAGUUCAUCCACAGAGCACGUAAUUCUGAUUGGUGCAACAGUCUGGAAGAGUGAAAGAUAUCAUCUCCCAAGGGCAAGUGCUGUGCUAGUGGACACUGAGGAGCUGCAGGGAUCAGACCCCUCCCCAUCCUUCUCCAGCCUCUCUUGUUCUUUCUUGAGAUGUUUCCUGCAGACCUGAAAGAUCCAUGCAGUCCAUGACAUGGGUUUCAAUUUAAUCUCAGGACAUUUUAUUCAUUGCCCAAAAACUAAGACCAGAUAAAAUUUAUUCAUUCAUUCA